Molecule: long non-coding RNA, 444 nt
Filed under: Capsicum annuum
Lineage: Eukaryota; Viridiplantae; Streptophyta; Magnoliopsida; Solanales; Solanaceae
Description: long non-coding RNA (CANN_LNC013424)
Source: RNAcentral
UCUGGGAAAAAAAAGCAGUAAAAUCAACUCAAAGAAAGUAAGAUGAAGACAGAAAAUGAUAGAAUCAAGUUCACUGAAUCACAGUGUGUCUUUAAGGAAUUUAUUCCCUUCAAAUACCAGAGGUCAAUGGAAUAUCUCCUCCCGAAAUAAAAUAAUUCACUUCAGAAAAUAGUGAAACCUCAAAUUUUCUGAACAACGAACUCACUCAACAACUUGAAGAUCACACUAGAGUUUUUAGAAGAAGAAGAUGACAUUUUUCAACUCAAAUUUUGUGUCUUUACUCGAGAAAAGUUUCAGGUAUUUAUACCCAAAAGGUGGUACUUCGAAAAGGAAGCAAUGGUUCACGAAGCAAUACAUUAUUUUCGAAACGACACCUACCUGCGCUAGAUCUGUGUCUGACCUGCAUUGAAUUUGCGCGCGUAGGUAGCGUUUGGCACAAACCAG